UUUCUACCAAGCCAAAUAAACCAUCAUGUUGUUGUCCAAACCAUACUACCCAUAUAGUUGUCAAUCUCCUUUCUAAUUAAGCUACAGAACCGAAAGAAAGCAAUACAAUUAAUAUUUAGAUCUACCUCAAUUCCCAACCACCUCUCAAUACCCCUCCACACUUUCACUUCUACUGUACAAUUCAGAAAUAAGUGUAAUAAAGUCUCAUCCUCAGAAAAACAUAAUGGAUAAGUCAUAUCUCCAUCGCUAUGCAUAAUACCUCACUUCAGCAAUUGAUUCUUCGU
Molecule: long non-coding RNA, 284 nt
Filed under: Lathyrus oleraceus (garden pea)
Lineage: Eukaryota; Viridiplantae; Streptophyta; Magnoliopsida; Fabales; Fabaceae
Description: Pisum sativum (pea) long non-coding RNA (PSAT_LNC028750)
Source: RNAcentral